GAUGAACGCUGGCGGCGUGCCUAAUACAUGCAAGUCGAGCGAACAGACGAGGAGCUUACUCCCCUGACGUUAGCGGCGGACGGGUGAGUAACACGUGGAUAACCUACCUAUAAGACUGGGAUAACUUCGGGAAACCGGAGCUAAUACCGGAUAACAUGUUCAACCGCAUGGUUCAACAGUGAAAGACGGUCUUGCUGUCACUUAUAGAUGGAUCCGCGUCGCAUUAGCUAGUUGGUAAGGUAACGGCUUACCAAGGCAACGAUGCGUAGCCGACCUGAGAGGGUGAUCGGCCACACUGGAACUGAGACACGGUCCAGACUCCUACGGGAGGCAGCAGUAGGGAAUCUUCCGCAAUGGGCGAAAGCCUGACGGAGCAACGCCGCGUGAGUGAAGAAGGUCUUCGGAUCGUAAAACUCUGUUAUUAGGGAAGAACAAAUGUGUAAGUAACUGUGCACGUCUUGACGGUACCUAAUCAGAAAGCCACGGCUAACUACGUG
This 497-nucleotide ribosomal RNA is filed under the name uncultured bacterium. RNAcentral's name for it is "partial 16S ribosomal RNA". It matches the Rfam family "Bacterial small subunit ribosomal RNA", at positions 28 to 507 of the family's 1533-position model. The record is from RNAcentral.